UACGGAGGGUGCAAGCGUUAUCCGGAUUCACUGGGUUUAAAGGGUGCGUAGGUGGGUCUGUAAGUCCGUGGUGAAAUCUCCGAGCUUAACUUGGAAACUGCCAUGGAUACUAUAGAUCUUGAAUACUGUGGAGGUUAGCGGAAUAUGUCAUGUAGCGGUGAAAUGCUUAGAUAUGACAUAGAACACCAAUUGCGAAGGCAGCUGACUACACAAAUAUUGACACUGAUGCACGAAAGCGUGGGGAUCAAACAGG
RNAcentral lists this ribosomal RNA (253 nucleotides) under uncultured bacterium. Its description in RNAcentral is "partial 16S ribosomal RNA". It matches the Rfam family "Bacterial small subunit ribosomal RNA", at positions 524 to 776 of the family's 1533-position model. The record is from RNAcentral.